CAGCCGCCACGGGAAUACGAAGGGGGCUAGCGUUGCUCGGAAUGACUGGGCGUAAAGGGCGCGUAGGCGGCAUGUACAGUCAGACGUGAAAUUCCUGGGCUUAACCUGGGGGCUGCGUUUGAUACGUGCAGGCUAGAGUGGGGAAGAGGGUUGUGGAAUUCCCAGUGUAGAGGUGAAAUUCGUAGAUAUUGGGAAGAACACCGGUGGCGAAGGCGGCAACCUGGUCCUUGACUGACGCUGAGGCGCGAAAGCGUGGGGAGCGAACAGGAUUAGAUACCCCCGUAGUCCCUGUCUCUUAUAC
This 301-nucleotide ribosomal RNA is filed under the name uncultured bacterium. RNAcentral describes it as "partial 16S ribosomal RNA". It matches the Rfam family "Bacterial small subunit ribosomal RNA", at positions 509 to 807 of the family's 1533-position model. The record is from RNAcentral.